This 88-nucleotide small nuclear RNA is filed under the name Myotis brandtii (Brandt's bat). Lineage: Eukaryota; Metazoa; Chordata; Mammalia; Chiroptera; Vespertilionidae. The record is from RNAcentral.
GUGCUUGCUUUGGCAGCACAUAUACUAAAAUUGGAAUGAUACCCUGCACAAGGAUGACACACAAAUUCGUGAAGUGUUCCAUAUAUAU